AGGUCUGCAUGUCUAGUAUAGCACUUUAUACUGUGAAACUGCGAAUGGCUCAUUAAAUCAGUUAUCGUUUAUUUGAUAGUACCUUACUACAUGGAUACCUGUGGUAAUUCUAGAGCUAAUACAUGCUGAAAACCUCGACUUCGGAAGGGGUGUAUUUAUUAGAUAAAAAACCAAUGCCCUUCGGGGCUCCUUGGUGAAUCAUAAUAACUUAACGAAUCGCAUGGCCUUGCGCCGGCGAUGGUUCAUUCAAAUUUCUGCCCUAUCAACUUUCGAUGGUAGGAUAGUGGCCUACCAUGGUGGCAACGGGUAACGGGGAAUUAGGGUUCGAUUCCGGAGAGGGAGCCUGAGAAACGGCUACCACAUCCAAGGAAGGCAGCAGGCGCGCAAAUUACCCAAUCCCGACACGGGGAGGUAGUGACAAUAAAUACUGAUACGGGGCUCUUUUGGGUCUCGUAAUUGGAAUGAGUACAAUCUAAAUCCCUUAACGAGGAACAAUUGGAGGGCAAGUCUGGUGCCAGCAGCCGCGGUAAUUCCAGCUCCAAUAGCGUAUAUUAAAGUUGUUGCAGUUAAAAAGCUCGUAGUUGAACCUUGGGUCUGGCUGGCCGGUCCGCCUCACCGCGAGUACUGGUCCGGCUGGACCUUUCCUUCUGGGGAAUCUCAUGGCCUUCACUGGCUGUGGGGGGAACCAGGACUUUUACUGUGAAAAAAUUAGAGUGUUCAAAGCAGGCCUUUGCUCGAAUACAUUAGCAUGGAAUAAUAGAAUAGGACGUGCGGUUCUAUUUUGUUGGUUUCUAGGACCGCCGUAAUGAUUAAUAGGGAUAGUCGGGGGCGUCAGUAUUCAGCUGUCAGAAGUGAAAUUCUUGGAUUUGCUGAAGACUAACUACUGCGAAAGCAUUCGCCAAAGGAUGUUUUCAUUAAUCAGGGAACGAAAGUUAGGGGAUCGAAGACGAUCAGAUACCGUCGUAGUCUUAACCAUAAACUAUGCCGACUAGGGAUCGGACGGUGUUUCUAUUAUGACCCGUUCGGCACCUUACGAGAAAUCAAAGUUUUUGGGUCUGGGGGGGGAAUAUGGUCGCAAGGCUGAAACUUAAGAAAUUGACGGAAGGGCCCACCAGGCGUGGAGCCGGGGCUUAUUUGACUCACACGGGGAAAAUCUCCCGGGCCGAACAAAAAAAGGAUGGAGAAAAGGAGAACCCUUCUUGUUUUUUUGGAAGGGGGGGGCGGGCCGCCUUCUUUGGGGGGGGGAUUUGUGUGUUUUUUUGUAUAAAAAAAAGAAACCCGCCCCUAAAAAAACGGCCGCGCUUUUUGGCGCGCGCCUUUUUGGAGAAAAAAACCCCCCCAAAAAAGGCGGCAAAAAAAGUUGUUUUUUUUUUUU
RNAcentral lists this ribosomal RNA (1375 nucleotides) under Aspergillus sp. RNAcentral describes it as "partial small subunit ribosomal RNA". It matches the Rfam family "Eukaryotic small subunit ribosomal RNA", at positions 46 to 1412 of the family's 1831-position model. Lineage: Eukaryota; Fungi; Ascomycota; Eurotiomycetes; Eurotiales; Aspergillaceae. The record is from RNAcentral.